Molecule: ribosomal RNA, 500 nt
Filed under: uncultured bacterium
Lineage: Bacteria
Description: partial 16S ribosomal RNA
Rfam family: Bacterial small subunit ribosomal RNA
Source: RNAcentral
AUUGAACGCUGGCGGCAUGCCUUACACAUGCAAGUCGAACGGCAGCACGGGUGCUUGCACCUGGUGGCGAGUGGCGAACGGGUGAGUAAUACAUCGGAACGUACCUUAUCGUGGGGGAUAACGCAGUGAAAGCUGUGCUAAUACCGCAUACGCCCUGAGGGGGAAAGCGGGGGAUCGAAAGACCUCGCGCGAUUAGAGCGGCCGAUGCCUGAUUAGCUUGUUGGUGGGGUAAAAGCCCACCAAGGCGACGAUCAGUAGCUGGUCUGAGAGGACGAUCAGCCACACUGGGACUGAGACACGGCCCAGACUCCUACGGGAGGCAGCAGUGGGGAAUUUUGGACAAUGGGGCAACCCUGAUCCAGCAAUGCCGCGUGAGUGAAGAAGGCCUUCGGGUUGUAAAGCUCUUUUGUCAGGGAAGAAACACCGGCUCUAACACAGUCCGGGAAUGACGGUACCUGAAGAAUAAGCACCGGCUAACUACGUGCCAGCAGCCGCAGUAA